Long non-coding RNA from Brassica rapa (field mustard), 3821 nucleotides. RefSeq lists it as uncharacterized. The record is from RefSeq and is a predicted model, not a curated record. Lineage: Eukaryota; Viridiplantae; Streptophyta; Magnoliopsida; Brassicales; Brassicaceae.
UCCACCCCUUAACUCUGAACCCUAAGGUUUGGAUUAAUUAACCCAAGGGGUAUAAGUGUAUAUUUACCUCUUUAAUAAAACCUAUUUUUGUGACUUUGAGCCUUGAGUGCUAUUUUGGGAACAAAAACUUGAUUUGGUGAUAUCUAGUCUUUUUCUCUUGUAGCAACUCUGUUUUUGAAUCAGUUUUUUUUUUUCCCCAACAACUAAUUCAGGUUCUGCAGAUGAUAAAGACGAGGCUCUUGAGUACAAGUGUAGGGAAAUGGGUUACGUUUCUUGCGAAAUGUGCGAAUUUUCUGGCUUUAGCCUUGAAGAUCUCACAACUCAUUUCAGUAGUGAUGAACAUUUAGAGGAAGUAAGCAUCUCUCUGCUUCUUAAUAUUUGUAUCGAUACAUUUCUCCUACUAUCCUCCCACGUCCUUUAAGUUUUGCUUGUCUUAUCUCCUCUGAUUUGCACUGGAUGUGCUUCUUUUUUGUUGUUGUCACGCAGGUGUCCUACCAUAAUCCUCUAGACAAACAUAGCUCUUCUACUUCUGCCGUAGAACCAAACGCAAGUUUUACUUAAUAUAUCUCAAAACUUUUAUAAUUUUGCUGAAAUUUGAAGCUAGACUUCUUUUUUGGUCGAAUCUGCGUUUCUUAUUGACAUUUUUUUUUGGUGCUAAAACAUCGAAAAAUUAGGGCAAUGAGAGGGAGACUAAGACUGAACAUGUAGGUGAACAAGAGACCAGCUGUGCACCAAGAGGCACCAAGAGAGCAGUUGCGCACAUUGUUCCAUCGGAUCUCUAAAAGAUUGAAUGGUUUUUGUUCUACUCUAGCGGAAAAUGUUUUUGUGGUUUAAAAGUAAAGGCCCGCUCUGCAGCCCAUUAAGAUUAAAACCCUAGGGUUUCUUUGCCUUCUUCUAUAAAUACACAGCCUCCACCCCUUAGUUUCCCAUCAGAAACUUUGAAACGAAGCUUUGCAGAGAAAUCUCGGAGAUCGGAAGCCCUAGCCGUCGAUGAUCUUUCUCUCUCCCUGCGCUGCCUCUCUUUCUUUUCUCCCUCUUCGCCGCAUCUCUCUCCUCUCUCUCUCCUCACGAUCUCUCUCUCCCGGCUGACUCUCUCUCUCUCUUUGCUGUAAGCAGCCGCGAGUGGUGGUGGUGGCCGCGUGGUGUCGUAGAUUUCAGAUCCCGUUUCUCUUACCCCUAUUUUCAGAUCCAGAUCCGGAUCUAGGCUAACGUGAGGACUAUAAGUGGAAGAGUCGAUGGUAAGAAAGGAAACGCACUUGAAACUCAUGGGACCAGAAACGGAACACAACUCCGCGCCCAGAAACUCCGGUUGGAAAUGGGGAAGGAGCGGGCGUUUCAAUAAACUUCCAAUGUUUGAUUCUUAUGAGUUCUUUAUGCUUGUGUUUCUUUGUAAUUUUUUCACGAAUACCAUAUGGAUUUUGCUUCCCCCAUGCAACAUUGAGCAUCAGCGACAGAAAGAGAUAGUUGUGCAUAUAAAACGUAAUAUCUAAACAGUUUUUAAUCAAUUGGAAAGCAUCUUACAAAAUCUGGAUGGCUUUCAAAAAAACCAGUGUGUUUCUAACCUAUGAUCCAUUUCGAAAAAUAAAAAAAAAGUUUGCAUCAAACGAAUGUCGAACCAGCGAACUAGGUGUGCGGCCACUACGCCAAGUACAAUUAAACUGUUCAUUAAUAUAAAUAAAACUUAAUAGCCAAACAGUAUUUAUUCAAUUUAAAUUGGAAAGCAUCUUACAAAAUCUGCAUGGCUUUCCAAAAAAUAUAUUUAUGGAGACUCAAAACUAUGGACAUGACAAACUGUAUUUUUGUAAAGUUUCAUAUUGUGAUGAAUAAUUUUGUGAGCAAAUCAAUAUAACCAAAAGCUUUAAAAUUUUGGAAAAAUUUUACAUAUAAAUAGGCCCUUAAAUUUGUGGAAAAGAAAAAUUUGUUGGGAUUGUGAAAUACUAUGUCCAACUCUAUAUUCUCCGAUUAGUACAAUAUUGUCCACUUUGGGCCUAAGAAACAAGUCUGCAUAGAUUUACUUUUGGUUUCCUUCCCAAAAGGUCUCGUACUAUUUAGAGUUGGACAUCUCUUUAUAUAUUAGACUCUCCUUUUUCUAAUUCUCCAAUGUGAGACUUAUUUUGUUAUAUCACAUUCUCCCCUUCAAACUAAGGAUCACAUUCAUCUCGUCUCCAACAACUGACUUUCAGGAUCUUUUGACUUGAUCUCUGCCACACACACCUUCCAAUCCUAACUCGAUGGGUCCCGUUCCUAUUCGAAGGGUAUUUUGGUCUUCUUACAGAUUUUCGUCAAACCGCUCUGAUACCAAUUGUUGGAAUUGUGAAAUCCCAUGUCCAACUCUAUAUUGUCCGAUUAGUACGAUAUUGUCCACUUUGGAUCUAAUUGGCUAGCCCGCAUGGAUUUACUUUUGUUUUCCUUCCCAAAAGACAUUAGACAUUAGAGUUAGACAUCUCUUUAUAUAUUAGACUUUCUUUUGUCUAAUAUCCGCUGUGGGACUUAACUUGUUAUCUCACAGAGACGGCGCGUUUAGAGCAGACAGAUAGAGCAGACUCGAGUAAAAAACCUCCUGCUCUGCUUAAUAAUGAUUUUAAUUGGCUAAUAGAAAUCAAACACAUCUUCCAAAAGUGUUGAAUUUUAUUUACCAUUUUUUUUUGACAAAUCAACACAAUAAUUAGGCUUGUUUCUCUCCAAAGCAUGACACCUCAGCUUUCAAAAUAGCUGUAGGAUUAACAUGUCAUCAAAUGAAAAAAGUUGAGGAACCAAUCUAUUUAUUUUGUAAGUCCACGUCAGUUUCACUCAACCGUAAUGAGAAAAAAAAUUACGAAGGUUACAGAUCUCUUCUCCUCCUCCUCUGUCUCCUCCUCUCCUUAUUCAAUUUUGCUCAGACAUGGGCUGGUCGAACCCCAACCCUUGCGAAUGAGACACCCUCCAAUGCGACAGGAGCAGCUGCGUCACGAGGAUCCAGCUCAGACAGAAAGGGAUCCGCAACACUCUCCCUCAGGAUCUCCAUAAACUCUCCGAGCUUGUCAUCCUCGAGACUCACGUCAGACGGUCGGAGAAGACAGAGCAGCAGGAGAAGACAGAGCAGCGGGGUCGGAGCCGAGCUCGUCGUUCUCGAGACUCACGUCAGACGUUAGAGAAGACAGAGCAGCGGCAUCGGAGAAGACAGAGCAGCGCGGUCGGAGCCGAGCUCGUCGUCCUCGAGACUUAUCAGACGUCGGAGUAGACAGAGCAGCGGCGUCGGCGAAGAAGAGCAGCAGUGUCGAAGAUGGUACUGAAGCGGGGAUGGUUGACGGCGUAGCUUAAGAAGAGCUUGGUUUGACAGCUGAAUUAGGUUUAAUCAAUUGGUUUAGUUAAUAAACCAAUUUGUAAUUGUAACCAAUUUUUAAUUGUAAACCAUGUAUCCAAAUUUCAAUUCGUAAAGAAAUACCAAUUUAUAAACCGAUUUAGUUAUAAAUAAAUUUUUAAUUUAUGUUUUUUUAAUAAUAAUUAACAAAAAGUAAAUAGUAUAAAAUUAAUAAUUUUAAAAUAAAUAAUAACAAAAAAUGAUAUUAAAUAAUAUUUAAUGGCAUACAAAUAAGAGAAUUACCGUAUGAUAUCACUAAAAAAGUUUCUAUCAUAAAUGACAAAUAUAGACUCUAAAGAUUGAAAUGAACAAAAUGUUUCAUUAAAUAAUUAAAUAUACACUUAUAUCCCUAAAGUUAAGUAAUUCAAACCUUAGGGUUUUAAGUUAAGGGUGGAGAUUUGAGAUUGAGAUUUAAAAUUUUAUAAAAUAAAAAAUAAAUAUUAAAAAUAAAAAAUUUAAAAAUAGUUUCAAAAAUUAUUUU